RNAcentral lists this ribosomal RNA (422 nucleotides) under Laparocerus heres heres. RNAcentral's name for it is "partial 16S ribosomal RNA". Lineage: Eukaryota; Metazoa; Arthropoda; Insecta; Coleoptera; Curculionidae. The record is from RNAcentral.
GGUAUUUUGACCGUGCAAAGGUAGCAUAAUCAUUAGUUUUUUAAUUGAAAGCUGGAAUGAAAGGUUGGAUGAGAAAUAAGCUGUCUCUAUUUAAUUUUAUUAGAAUUUUAUUUUUAAGUAAAAAAGCUUAAAUUUUAAUAGAAGACGAGAAGACCCUAUAGAGUUUUAUUUAUUUUUUAAAUAGAAUUAGUAGUAUAAAUUAUUUUUAUUUAUAAAAUGAAUUUAAUUGGGGUGAUUGAAAAAUUUAAUAAACUUUUUUUAUAUAUAUACAUUGAUAUAUGAUUAAUUGAUCCUUUAUUUGAGAUUAAAAGAUAAAAUUACCUUAGGGAUAACAGCGUAAUUUUUUUUGAGAGUUCUAAUCGAAAAAAAAGAUUGCGACCUCGAUGUUGGAUUAAAAUAAAAUUUUGGUGUAGAAGCUGAAA